UACGGGGGGGGCAAGCGUUGUUCGGAAUUACUGGGCGUAAAGGGCUCGUAGGCGGCCAACUAAGUCAGACGUGAAAUCCCUCGGCUUAACCGGGGAACUGCAUCUGAUACUGGAUGGCCUGAGUUCGGGAGAGGGAUGCGGAAUUCCAGGUGUAGCGGUGAAAUGCGUAGAUAUCUGGAGGAACACCGGUGGCGAAGGCGGCAUCCUGGACCGGCACUGACGCUGAGGAGCGAAAGCCAGGGGAGCAAACGGG
RNAcentral lists this ribosomal RNA (253 nucleotides) under uncultured bacterium. RNAcentral's name for it is "partial 16S ribosomal RNA". It matches the Rfam family "Bacterial small subunit ribosomal RNA", at positions 524 to 776 of the family's 1533-position model. The record is from RNAcentral.